RNAcentral lists this ribosomal RNA (521 nucleotides) under Anampses geographicus (geographic wrasse). RNAcentral describes it as "partial 12S ribosomal RNA". It matches the Rfam family "Bacterial small subunit ribosomal RNA", at positions 772 to 1521 of the family's 1533-position model. The record is from RNAcentral. Lineage: Eukaryota; Metazoa; Chordata; Actinopteri; Labriformes; Labridae.
AUGGGAUUAGAUACCCCACUAUGCCUAGCCAUAAACAUAGAUAAUAAUAUACCUAUUUUAUCCGCCNGGGUACUACGAGCAUCAGCUUAAAACCCAAAGGACUUGGCGGUGCUUUAGAUCCACCUAGAGGAGCCUGUUCUAGAACCGAUAAUCCCCGUUAAACCUCACCCUUCCUUGCCUAGUCCGCCUAUAUACCGCCGUCGCCAGCUUACUCUGUGAAGAUCUUGUAGUAAGCACAACUGGUACAGCCCAAAACGUCAGGUCGAGGUGUAGCGUAUGGAGGGGGAAGAAAUGGGCUACAUUCAAUAAUAGUAAUGAACACGAAUUAUGUUUUGAAAUAGACAUUUGAAGGAGGAUUUAGUAGUAAGUGGAGAAUAGAGCGCCCCACUGAAACUGGCCCUGAAGCGCGCACACACCGCCCGUCACUCUCCCCGAGCUAACAUAAACUAAUUACUAAUAAAUAAUAACUGUAAAGGGGAGGCAAGUCGUAACAUGGUAAGCGUACCGGAAGGUGCGCUUGG